Molecule: ribosomal RNA, 468 nt
Filed under: uncultured bacterium
Lineage: Bacteria
Description: partial 16S ribosomal RNA
Rfam family: Bacterial small subunit ribosomal RNA
Source: RNAcentral
GAUGAACGCUGGCGGCGUGCCUAACACAUGCAAGUCGAGCGAUUCUCUUCGGAGAAGAGCGGCGGACGGGUGAGUAACGCGUGGGUAACCUGCCCUGUACAUACGGAUAACAUACCGAAAGGUAUGCUAAUACGGGAUAAUAUGCUUUAGUCGCAUGGCUGAAGUAUCAAAGCUCCGGCGGUACAGGAUGGACCCGCGUCUGAUUAGCUAGUUGGUAAGGUAACGGCUUACCAAGGCGACGAUCAGUAGCCGACCUGAGAGGGUGAUCGGCCACAUUGGAACUGAGACACGGUUCAAACUCCUACGGGAGGCAGCAGUGGGGAAUAUUGCACAAUGGGCGAAGGCCUGAUGCAGCAACGCCGCGUGAGCGAUGAAGGCCUUCGGGUCGUAAAGCUCUGUCCUCAAGGAAGAUAAUGACGGUACUUGAGGAGGAAGCCCCGGCUAACUACGUGCCAGCCGCCGCCGUAA